CUCGUUUUUUUCAUUAAAAAAACCAAUUCAUUUUCAAAUUUGAGCUGCAUAAAAGCCUAUUUUAACGCCAAACAAUAACAAUGACAUGAAUUUCAUAAAAAAGCCAAAUCAAAUCCAAUAAAAAGGAAAUAAAAAUUUAAAAAAAUAAAUUAUAAGAAGAGAAGGAAAUCAAGUGUAAAAAUAAAUGAAAAUUUUAUAUAUUUCUAAUAAAAUUCAAAAGUUAUAAACAACACAAACAGCAGCAAAAAAUAAUUUUGAUUGGCUUCCUGUUCAGGGAAAAGCAAACAUUUGGUUUUGGUUUAAAAUCAUCCACCAUAAUUCAUUCAUACACUCACUCAUCGGUUCCUUCAGCUUAAAAAGUAUUUUAAAUGUAGGAGCAAAUUGCAAACUGUCUUGGAACGCGUCAACUAACCAACUGAGUUCAGGCA
Long non-coding RNA from Lucilia sericata (common green bottle fly), 428 nucleotides. RefSeq lists it as uncharacterized. The record is from RefSeq and is a predicted model, not a curated record. NCBI's taxonomy places the organism in Eukaryota, Metazoa, Arthropoda, Insecta, Diptera, Calliphoridae. The transcript has 4 exons.